RNAcentral lists this ribosomal RNA (159 nucleotides) under Lipomyces kononenkoae. RNAcentral's name for it is "5.8S rRNA". It matches the Rfam family "5.8S ribosomal RNA". Rfam says of the family: 5.8S ribosomal RNA (5.8S rRNA) is a component of the large subunit of the eukaryotic ribosome. It is transcribed by RNA polymerase I as part of the 45S precursor that also contains 18S and 28S rRNA. The record is from RNAcentral. Lineage: Eukaryota; Fungi; Ascomycota; Lipomycetes; Lipomycetales; Lipomycetaceae.
AAACUUUCAACAACGGAUCUCUUGGUUCUCGCAUCGAUGAAGAACGCAGCAAAUUGCGAUAAGUAAUGUGAAUUGCAGGAUUUUGUGAAUCAUCGAAUUUUUGAACGCACAUUGCACCUUCUGGUAUUCCGGAGGGUAUACCUGUUUGAGCGUCAUUUA